GCACAGCGCGAGAGCAGAGACGCGAGCGGCCGAGUUACCUAAUGGUUGAAUCUGGCGACCAGGCGCCAGGGCUCCUGGGUCCCAUUCGUACACCUCUUGUUUUCUUGCUGCCUGAUCUUUGCCAAAUCAAUUCUUUAUGCCUCCGUUUCACCGACCGUAGAUCUGCCCAUCUGUUGAGGACAGUGCAAGGGCUACGGGGAGAGAUUCAGCUUGGAGAUCACAUCUGCGCAUGUUUUCAGGACGCCUGCGCUGUCGUAUUUUCAGGUUGUUUUCUUCGUGUGCUUUACAGCACUUUGUGUGCGCUCACCUGUGCUUCUGCUUUCCUGGUAAUCAGUUUGCCCAGUUCGGGGGAGGAAUGUGAGCGUAAAACCCCAGGCCCAGUUGAGAGCAAGGGACAGGUAUCAGGACUCAAAUGGCUUUGGUCUCAUGUUUUUUUUAAUGGACUGGCCGUGUCGUCUUAGCACCGCGGUGCUGCUCUACACGUGUGAUUUCUUUCCCUGGCCUUUCCCAGCGCCCUGGUGCAAGGGGCUGUACAAAUUCAGAGCAAAGACAGCAGUUCAGAGAGUGCUUUGUGAAGAAAGACACUGGAGAAAGUUAGGGUGACUUGGUUGUCCGGGUGGCUCAGAUAAAGUAUUGCCCUGUCAUUUUUGCACAUGACGGAUCUGAUCCUGCAUUUCUAACACCCCGAGCUCCAUCUGACAACGCCGAGUUGGAGAUGUACCAGGUGGACGAGAUUGGCAACAACUCUGUGCUGAUUCCCCCUGUGUAAUCCCUGGCUUUGUGAGGCAUCAAGCUUUUUAUUUUCAAUUUUUUUUAGCUGUAAAAUGCAAGCUUCUCCACGGCCUCUGCUGUCCGUGGGGUUAAAACGUCCUGUGCCUUGAAACUGGGAAUAGCUAGGAAUUGGAGCACGGCCCCUUUAAAAGCCCAUUACAUCGCGUUAGAAUAUAGUCUUUGUUUAACUAGUGAUGAUUGUUCCCAGUGGACCGGACUGGAACGGUUUGCUGAGACCAGAGGGGUCUAAGGCUUGGGGCCAACAGUCAGCUUGCAGAUCAGAGCUGUUCAGACCAUACAAGGAGGAAAAAGAGAGGCGCAGCAUGAUCUCUGCACUUCCUGCCAUGGGUUUUGGAGUUUACAUUAAAUACUGCUUCCUGGUCCUGGAAAGUGCGGGAGGGAAGAUUGCGCGAUGAAAUGUUUUUGCCCCUUCCACUUGUACCACAAACGAGGGCAACUCAAAUUACUGCUAGUCGGGUCCGAUGCUAUUGCAUUUCUUACUGAAUUUGACUGAGUAGCCAUUCUCACUCUUCUUUUCCUGGGCUGAGCUGUUUGCAUUAAGUAUUUCCAGACCCACAGAUAAAACCUAGGUGAAGGCGAAGGAAGCGAUUUGGACAGAUGUUGGCAGGCUGGCUUCUGGGAACAAGGUUUCCCAAGCUCUGAACACAGUCGGCUUCCAGAUCCCAGCCUUGUCUGGCACAGCUGUCAGAAACCAGGUCACGUGGCUAUCUGAAUCGGUGCGCGGGGAAUAUCCUGUCCUGGGAAUCUGAAGCUGCACAUGCUCAGCAAUCGUGGCCUGUCACCGUAUUAAACCAGCUGCGUAAGUCACCUCUGUCCCACCCCUGUCGGCACCUCACCCAUCCAGGCAGCAGCCAGAAGCCUCAGGAAAUGAGUAACGGGUGAAGUCACGGCGUUGUUUGCCGAGGUUUCACAUUUAGAGUUGAACGUCCUGGCAAAGGGCAGCUGAGCUGCCGCAGAUCGGAGAGCAGGAGAACGUGCUCUGUGCCCCGCUCGGUAGCGGGUUGCGGGAUAGGAAGGAGGGGAACAGCACGACAAGCGAAGACUAAUAGAAGUAAUUAUUGCAAGGGGAUUUUCCGAGCAUUGGGAAUCCGACUCGGGUCCAUCUACACGCGGAGCGUAGGGGACGUCGGGGACAUCACUGAAAUGCCGACGGUCCAGCAGAAGCUGCGGAUCACUGUGUGUCCCCCCCUGCACCUGCAGCCCUGCACCUCCCAAACCUCCUCCUCUUGACUUGUACCAGCAUGAGACCAACCAGCCUCUUUGCUGGUCCACACCUGGCACAAGCCUCUUGCUUUUAAUUUGAGGAGUGUGCCUGCUGCUGGCCACCUCCUCGUACAAGCACGGUACCCACUCCUGCUCCAGUUCUGAUUUCAGAUGCUGAAAUAAAUGCCUCCCUGCUUGCCACAGUACACCUGGGAUUAAACUGCCCUCGAAAGUCCAACCAGGCAACCCGCGUGUGCUGUGCUCAGUCCCUGCAGCGGUACCGAAAUGCGCGCCGCACUGAAGGAGCCUUCCUGCAUGAAGAAGGCCUCGCUGCUUCACUGCUAAAAGGCACAAAUGAGUGUUUGUUGCUCCUGAGGAAGUGGAAGAUGAAGGCUGAGCUGGAGGGCAAUGAGGGCAGAGCAAGGGAGGGGGAUUUGGACUCUGUUCUGCUUAUGGUGGGUAAAAAUGUUCCAUUCUUUUGAUCCUCCUUAGUCUCGUCUUUGUGAUCCGAGCUGUGCUUUUUCCUGGAAGGUUUCCCAUGUUCCUGAUGGAGCCAAAAAGCUGCCACAUUUUCCUUGUCUCAGCCGCAUCCUUGCAAUUAGGGAGCAUGCUGUGAUGACGCGUUGCGUGCAAAUGUAGGGCUGGCGAUAGGUGUUUGCUGCUGCUAGAGACUGCUGGCCUCUCUUCAUCGCCGGCGCGGGUAUGGUGCAGGCAACAGCAGUGCACGCUCUCCGUAUGGCCCUGUCAAUGCCAUUCAGUCCCGACCUAAAAGAAACCUCAUUAGAGGGCACAAGAGAGUUCAGGACCCGUGGCUGGUUCAUCCCCCUUGGAUGCGUGGAGUCAGAUUUUUGAGACAAUAAUAGCACUUUUCCUUGGAAACUGGCACUAACAGCUAGUUUCACAUGGGUUCCCACACAGCCCUGUAAUGGUCCCACUGCUCGGUCAUGACUUCCCCAGUCUGCAUUGUUGGAUUUACUGGCAGUCAUUAACUCCGCACAAUGCAUUUUUCCUAUUAAUGCGAGUGUUACCGGCCUGAAAGCAAAGCCAAGCUGUACAUGUGCCUCCUGCCUGUUAGCUAGCGAGCAUGUCCCAGUGGAGCUCGACUGCAUUUGCAAAGACGAGGUCCAUCCUCCGGUAGCGUCACCUUACUGGGCGGGUGCGCGGGUGCAACGUGUAGACAUCGUGGUAGCAGAAUGGAGGGGGCUCACAGCGCGGACCUGGAGUGGCGUGGCCGCGGAGGCAGUGCUGGCAGUGGGCCCGUGGGGAUGAUGCAUCAGGGCUGAAACUCAUACAUUCAGCACCAUUACAGAAAGUCGUUCAGGCUUGGGUGACCCAGCCCUCGCACACCUGCUGGAGACCAGGCUUUCCCACCAUCGUCUUAGCAAUCAGAAAUAAAAAGUGUAAAGUGAUUUUUGCCAUGAAGCUGCAAUGUGCACAAGCAGGGACCGGACGACUCCAGGAAACCCCCUGUUGGCCUUGCUGCGCCGACGUGGUUUACCGGGAAGGGCUCGUAGAGCAGUGCUGAUAGCUCCAGAGAGCCACGAAGUAGCUAAUGAUGUUGUUUCCUGAAGGACAGCAGAAAAAGUUGGCUGCAACCUGCUCCCACAGAGGUGCCUGAGAGCUUAAGAAAAAAGGGCUUCUUUCUCGAAUGGUGAACACGCAGCUCGCUUUCCUACAGGCAGUGAAAGCCUGGCACUAGAUAAGUAGCUGUGAGAUGAUUCAUAAAAAACUAAUUUAUAAUUUGCCAGAAUAUAAUCCUGUUUGAUCAGUGUUA
This is a long non-coding RNA of Gavialis gangeticus (Gharial), 3769 nucleotides long. RefSeq lists it as uncharacterized. NCBI's taxonomy places the organism in Eukaryota, Metazoa, Chordata, Crocodylia, Gavialidae. The transcript is spliced from 2 exons. The record is from RefSeq and is a predicted model, not a curated record.